This 387-nucleotide ribosomal RNA is filed under the name Triticum aestivum (bread wheat). Its description in RNAcentral is "partial small subunit ribosomal RNA". The record is from RNAcentral. Lineage: Eukaryota; Viridiplantae; Streptophyta; Magnoliopsida; Poales; Poaceae.
AUGGGAGCAUGGAGUAAACCAUACUCUGGGGUGUCUGAUCCCCUGAUCAUUGAGGCCUUGGCACUGCGGGAAGGAGUUCGAUUGGCUACACUUCGAGGCUUCCUAUAUCUGAUAAUAGAGGUAGACUGUCUGGAGCUGGUGUCGCUCUGGAAAACUCGCCACAUUUCCCGUUCUAUUGUGGCUCCAAUCUUGUUAGAAAUGGGAGAGCUCAUUAGUUGUUUCACUUCUUUUGAUAUAAAACAUGUAAGCAGGUCAGCUAACGCAACGGUGCUUCUUUGUGCAAAACAUACAUGCACCUUGAAUGUGACCGAAACUUGGCUGGCUGAGACCCUGAGCUUCCUUGUGACUAGUCUUCUGGCUGAUUGUCCGAGGAAUGCUUUUAUCUGA